Long non-coding RNA from Odocoileus virginianus texanus, 1566 nucleotides. RefSeq lists it as uncharacterized. The record is from RefSeq and is a predicted model, not a curated record. Lineage: Eukaryota; Metazoa; Chordata; Mammalia; Artiodactyla; Cervidae.
GGUUCAAGGCGGGGGCGGUCAGCAGCGUCCCCCCCACCACCACUGAAAUGCCACCCCCCGGCCCUCAUCUGACAGUGGCAGGUGCAGAGACUGAGAGACGGUGCAUGGCUCUCCCGCCAUCACAAAGCCAGGCCAAAACCGGCCGCGAGAUGAGAGGCGUUUGCUGCAGAGACCUUGGACAUGAAAUUCUGGGUCUGAGCCUAAAAGAAGCUGCCCGGGAAGUUGGGAGCCAGGCAGAUAUCUGAGAGGGCUGGGGAGACAGCGGGGUUUGGCUGUGUCCGCCUGCCCAGCAGACAUCCUCCUUCUGGAAACAGUUCCGUUCUCUUCCGGGGACCACCCCGCUACCCCCUCAGUGCCUGUGCUGCGCAUUCCACACCCAGCACCUGGGAUGCACCGCGACUGCCUAAUCAGAGCAGCCCAACCCUCCGGGCCUCAUGAUUGGCUCUGGAUGGGCACAUGACCUGAAGAGAGCCAAUGAGAGCCAUUCCUGGGACUUUGGAUAGGAACGUGGCAGAGACGCACACCCUCCCUGGGCAGGCAACCCGGUACCACUGGCGGCCAUCUUGCCAGCUCGAGACUGGAGUGGAAAAUGGAGCUGAGGACGGAGACAGACUGAGACCUGAGGGUGUCGUUAAACCGCCUGGAUCUACCUGGGUCUAGAGCUAGUUCCUCUAGACUUUUUAGUUACCUGCCCCCAUUGAAAUCCCUUUUCUGCUUCAGCCCAUUUAAGUUAGGUUUUCUGCCACCUGCAACCAAAAGCCUCCUACUAGACCAUGAGACUCAGGGGUAGGAUGUAUUUCCUGGUCCCAUGGAUUUGGGCUCAGCCGUGUGAUGUGUUUUGGCCGAUAGAAUGAGGCAGAACUGACUGAACACAGGCCUUAAGAGACCUUGUGCAUUUCCACUUGCCUGGCCAGCCACCUGAUCCCAAGAGGAGGCCAUGGAGCAGAGCUGAGCUGUCCAGUUGAGCCCAGUCUAGACCAGCUGACUCCUAGCAGCCCCACAGACCGACACAGCUGCACGUGGACAGAAGGACAUUUGCACAAGGAUAUUUAUCACAGCACUGAAGUAACAGCAAAAGACUGGAAGCAACCUCAAAAUCUAGCAACAGGAGAUCAGUGAGAUCAACGAUGACCCAUCCAUAGGAGGAUGAUACCGGAAGUGGUUAAGAAGGAACUGACUGCAUUCAAAUGUGUGUCUGGAGCCAAGAUGCACCGAAGCAAGCUGGAGGACGGGGGCUCGGUGUGCGACCGCUUGUGUGUGUAUUUGAAGAGGGAUCUGUACAUAUGAAGAGCACAGGCCGGCUCUGGAAAGAGACUCUAGAACCUGGCCACUCAGGUUGCCUCUGGGACAGAAGCUGGGAGGGGCAUCAGUGACAGUGGAACGGAUUUUCUUUCUUUUUAGCUGCCGUGAAUUCGGAGGUGCCAGGUUCCCUCGUCCAGCAGGCACCGGUAUCACCCCACCUUUAACUGAAAAGGAAAUCGAAGCAUGUCCAAGUCCUGCCCGCUGCCCAGCAUAUACUGGGGGCUCAAUGAUAUUUGUUGAAUAAAUUAUUUGUGGCCCUUUGGA